UAGAUUCACUGGAGGUGCCUUUUAAGAGGGCUGAGAUCGGAGUAAGACUUCGGGACUCCUUGAACCUGAUCCAGUUAACACUGGCGUAGGGAAGUGAGCAGAUAGACAG
RNAcentral lists this non-coding RNA (109 nucleotides) under Salisediminibacterium beveridgei. Its description in RNAcentral is "Bacillus beveridgei TPP sequence". It matches the Rfam family "TPP riboswitch aptamer (THI element)". Rfam says of the family: Vitamin B(1) in its active form thiamin pyrophosphate (TPP) is an essential coenzyme that is synthesised by coupling of pyrimidine and thiazole moieties in bacteria. The previously detected thiamin-regulatory element, thi box was extended, resulting in a new, highly conserved RNA secondary structure, the THI element, which is widely distributed in eubacteria and also occurs in some archaea. Analysis of operon structures identified a large number of new candidate thiamin-regulated genes, mostly transporters, in various prokaryotic organisms. Lineage: Bacteria; Bacillati; Bacillota; Bacilli; Caryophanales; Bacillaceae. The record is from Rfam by way of RNAcentral.